RNAcentral lists this ribosomal RNA (446 nucleotides) under uncultured bacterium. RNAcentral's name for it is "bacterial SSU rRNA". It matches the Rfam family "Bacterial small subunit ribosomal RNA", at positions 330 to 792 of the family's 1533-position model. The record is from RNAcentral.
ACCAGACUCCUACGGGAGGCAGCAGUGGGGAAUAUUGCACAAUGGGGGGAACCCUGAUGCAGCGACGCCGCGUGAGUGAAGAAGUAUUUCGGUAUGUAAAGCUCUGUCAGCAGGGAAGAAGAAAGACGGUACCUGACUAAGAAGCCCCGGCUAACUACGUGCCAGCAGCCGCGGUAAUACGUAGGGGGCAAGCGUUAUCCGGAUUUACUGGGUGUAAAGGGAGCGUAGACGGCGGCGCAAGCCAGAUGUGAAAGCCCGGGGCUCAACCCCGGGACUGCAUUUGGAACUGUGCCGCUAGAGUGUCGGAGAGGCAGGCGGAAUUCCUAGUGUAGCGGUGAAAUGCGUAGAUAUUAGGAGGAACACCAGUGGCGAAGGCGGCCUGCUGGACGAUGACUGACGUUGAGGCUCGAAAGCGUGGGGAGCAAACAGGAUUAGAUACCCUAGUA